CUCAAGCUGCAGCCGUAUGCGCAAUCAUCGGUCGUCAAUCGCCCCUGCCGGAAGCUCUCCUACAGGUUCUACGGGCCGUUCACGGUGACUGAACGGAUCGGCACUCUGGCGUACCGCCUUCAACUACCAGAGGACAGCCGCAUCCAUCCGGUAUUCCAUGUUUCCCAGCUGAAGCCUUACAUCCCCGAUUACACUCCUAUCUUCUCGGAGCUGCCGCAAGUACCGGACCUGGUCAUCGGCGACGCAGAACCAGUGGCCAUCAUGGAGCGCCGUAUGAUGAAGAAGGGCGACGCGCCAGUAAUCCAACUGCAAGUUCGGUGGUCCAACCGACCCCCGACUGCCACAACCUGGGAAGACUACGACAUCCUCAAAGAGCGCUAUCCAUCGGCCUGCAUCUGGGAGGGAGCUCCUUCUCAAGACGGGGGCAAUGUCACGCCUGCAGAUGACGAUCUGCAGUGGACUGCAAGUGCAGUUCAGUUAACGGCUGUUAACUGA
RNAcentral lists this ribosomal RNA (495 nucleotides) under Triticum aestivum (bread wheat). Its description in RNAcentral is "partial small subunit ribosomal RNA". Lineage: Eukaryota; Viridiplantae; Streptophyta; Magnoliopsida; Poales; Poaceae. The record is from RNAcentral.